This 437-nucleotide ribosomal RNA is filed under the name uncultured bacterium. RNAcentral's name for it is "partial 16S ribosomal RNA". It matches the Rfam family "Bacterial small subunit ribosomal RNA", at positions 29 to 507 of the family's 1533-position model. The record is from RNAcentral.
AGCGAACGCUGGCGGCAGGCUUAACACAUGCAAGUCGAGCGGGCAUCCUUGUGGUGUCAGCGGCAGACGGGUGAGUAACGCGUGGGAACGUGCCCUUCGGUUCGGAAUACCUCAGGGAAACUUGAGCUAAUACCGGAUACGUGCGAGAGCAGAAAGGUUUAUCUGCCGAAGGAUCGGCCCGCGUCUGAUUAGCUAGUUGGUGAGGUUAUGGCUCACCAAGGCGACGAUCAGUAGCUGGUCUGAGAGGAUGAUCAGCCACACUGGGACUGAGACACGGCCCAGACUCCUACGGGAGGCAGCAGUGGGGAAUAUUGGACAAUGGGGGCAACCCUGAUCCAGCCAUGCCGCGUGAGUGAUGACGGCCUUAGGGUUGUAAAGCUCUUUUCUUCGGGACGAUAAUGACGGUACCGGAGGAAUAAGCCCCGGCUAACUUCGUG